This 222-nucleotide unclassified non-coding RNA is filed under the name uncultured Nocardiaceae bacterium. RNAcentral describes it as "contains 16S-23S intergenic spacer region". Lineage: Bacteria; Bacillati; Actinomycetota; Actinomycetes; Mycobacteriales; Nocardiaceae. The record is from RNAcentral.
UCCGAGUUGACCCCGGCAGUCUCCUGCGAGUCCCCGCCAUUACGCGCUGGCAACACAGGACAAGGGUUGCGCUCGUUGCGGGACUUAACCCAACAUCUCACGACACGAGCUGACGACAGCCAUGCACCACCUGUAUACCGACCACAAGGGGGGCCGUAUCUCUACGGCUUUCCGGUAUAUGUCAAACCCAGGUAAGGUGGGGAUGACGUCGGAGGAAUUCCA